This 480-nucleotide ribosomal RNA is filed under the name uncultured Methanosaeta sp. RNAcentral's name for it is "bacterial SSU rRNA". It matches the Rfam family "Archaeal small subunit ribosomal RNA", at positions 858 to 1338 of the family's 1478-position model. Lineage: Archaea; Methanobacteriati; Methanobacteriota; Methanomicrobia; Methanotrichales; Methanotrichaceae. The record is from RNAcentral.
AAAGGAAUUGACGGGGAGCACCACAACGGGUGGAGCUUGCGGUUUAAUUUGGAUUCAACGCCGGAAAUCUUACCGGGACCGACAGCAAUAUGAAGGCCAGGCUGAAGACUUUGCCGGAUUAGCUGAGAGGUGGUGCAUGGCCGUCGUCAGUUCGUACUGUGAAGCAUCCUGUUAAGUCAGGCAACGAGCGAGACCCACGCCCACAGUUGCCAGCGUACUCUCCGGAGUGACGGGUACACUGUGGGACCGCCGCUGCUAAAGCGGAGGAAGGAAUGGGCAACGGUAGGUCAGUAUGCCCCGAAUAUCCCGGGCUACACGCGAGCUACAAUGGUUGGUACAAUGGGUAUCUACCCCGAAAGGGGACGGAAAUCUCCUAAAACCAAUCUUAGUUCGGAUUGAGGGCUGCAACUCGCCCUCAUGAAGCUGGAAUCCGUAGUAAUCGCGUUUCAACAGAACGCGGUGAAUACGUCCCUGCUCCUU